CACACGCCCAGUCCGGCAACCGCACGGGAGGUCUCUCCCCCUAGACUGUGCUCCAUGGGGUGGACCCAGGCCUUGUGCUGUUUUUACUUAUAUCCCCCAUGGAGACCAGAGCUAGGCACAGAGUACAGCAGCACCCCAACUUUCAGCCGGUUACCCAUACAUCUCUCAUGUCAUUAAGAACAAUGAAACUAUAGCACACACACAUUCCAGUGGAAAAAAAUAAUUUUCAAAGUUCCCUGGAGUUCGUUGCAGUGGAAUCCAUGGCCCAGGAGGAAGAGGUUUAGUUCAGCCUGGAAGGAGGGCAUCCCAUCUGAGCCGAGACCUCUUUGAGGGUCCUUGUAUGUCACCUGCUGUCUGUCGCUGGUUCGCCUUCUGGCAUCUUUGAUACCUCCCCAGUCAGAGACCUCUGUUUGUGCCAAGAAGUCAUCUGCUGUGUCUUCAAACAAGACCGUAGGAGGCAGAGCCUCUGGUGCUGGCACAUCGCAGAAGCUAAUACCUCGUCACCAACGGAGUGAAGAGACCACGGCUUUCCCCUUUCCUUCCUGUAUUCCAGCUUGCAUGGAUGCCAGCAGAAUUCAAUCUAAAGUGGAAAGAGAAAAGUAAACAAACCUGAGAACUUUCUGGAUCUCUG
RNAcentral lists this long non-coding RNA (631 nucleotides) under Homo sapiens (human). RNAcentral describes it as "non-protein coding lnc-BIRC7-6:2". The record is from RNAcentral. Lineage: Eukaryota; Metazoa; Chordata; Mammalia; Primates; Hominidae.